CCAAUAGCGUAUAUUAAAGUUGUUGCAGUUAAAAAGCUCGUAGUUGAAUUUCGGGGUUCAUCCGUUGGUCGGGCUUUUUGGUCUGUACUGGCGUGAUGGAUUCCUACCUUCUGGAUAACCAGCAUGUCAUUAAUUUGGUGCGCUGGGGAAGCAGGACUGUUACCUUGAAAAAAUUAGAGUGCUUAAAGCAGGCUAUCGCCUGAAUACAUUAGCAUGGAAUAAUGAAAUAGGACGGCAUGGUUCUAUUUUGUUGGUUUCUAGGAUCGCCGUAAUGAUUAAUAGGGAUAGUUGGGGGCAUUAGUAUUCAAUUGUCAGAGGUGAAAUUCUUGGAUUUAUUGAAGACUAACUUCUGCGAAAGCAUUUGCCAAGGAUGUUUUCAUUAAUCAAGAACGAAAGUUAGGGGAUCGAAGACGAUCAGAUACCGUCGUAGUCUUAACCAUAAACUAUGCCGACUAGGGAUCGGACGAUGUAAAUUUUUUAAUGACUCGUUCGGCGCCUUACG
Molecule: ribosomal RNA, 502 nt
Filed under: uncultured Glomeromycotina
Lineage: Eukaryota; Fungi; Glomeromycota
Description: partial small subunit ribosomal RNA
Rfam family: Eukaryotic small subunit ribosomal RNA
Source: RNAcentral